CCGUACCGCGGUAGAAGCAGUGGUCCCCGUGGCGCCGGGUCGCCCUCGGCCCGCUUCCUGAAGGCACAAAGCCGGCGGCGCCCACCGAACCAUCCCGCUCCAGGUCCAGCAGGAACCUCCGGCCGCCCGCGUAGACGAGCUUUCCCAGUCAGGCACUAACAGAUGGAAGAGCAGAUGAUCCUCCAGGAAGACAGGGGUUCAGACAACCAGACUUGAGCCUGUGGGAAACUUCCUUUCACCAGUAGCUGGAACACCCCAGAGUCCCAACACAAUUGCUAUCUCUGAUCUUUGAAAAUAUGAGCAGAUGAGCUUGAGGCAGCUGGAAGAGACAGGGAAGUAGAGUUUGAUUGAUUUCUAGUUCAAGGAACUCAUCUUUGACCGCGUUUUCCUGCAUUCUUCCCCAAAGCCAGAUUCUUGCUUUUGCUUCUCUCUUUUUCUCAUUUCGGGAUCCUCUUCCAAUCCAUCCAUCCCCUUUCCAGUCCAGGUGCGUGAUAAAACCAAGAUUCCUCUUGUCCUUCAGGCAUGUCGAAUAUCAAAUUUUUAGAGAACAGAUCUGGGUAGGAAAGGAUGAAGUUGUACUCAUAACAUUCAAAUCUGUGUUCAAAAUCAUCCCCUAAAGGGAGUCCUCACUGAUGUAGAAAAGAUGUUAAGGUUUGAAGCUGACGGCCAAGAAAGAAUUCUUGAGACAUCUUUGGUGCAAAAAGGUGAUUUUAUUAAAGCGUGGGGACAGGACCCAUGGGUAGAAAGAGCUGCACUGGGAUGAUGAGUAGUGGCCCAUUAUAUAUUUUCAAGUUGGGAGGGGCUUAGGGAUAGUGUAAGUCUCUAAGGAGUUUUGGAAGCAAGUUUUCCAGGACCUUGAGGGGGCUAGCUAUUGUUGGGAAAAGGUCAUUUAUUACUGUCUAAUAAAACCAUAGUCAUGAGACCCUUCAGAUGUAUAUCGGUGGGCCAUAUGCUCGGGGGAUGAUUGCCAACAUGUAUCUUGUGGGGGUUUAGAGAUAAAGGAAGUUUCAAAAGGAAUUUUUAUAUGUUAAAGUAGACUUACAGGAUUGGGGGGGAGGGGCCAGACCAGAAUUGUCUUCUGCCUUUAGCAAAGUAUUAACAUCGAGGCAGCUGAGUUUCUAGAGGAAGGUCACUCUGCCUAUUUCAAGGACUUGUCAUUGGGCUGUAAGUGGUAAAGAAAUUCGGUUUUUCUUUUGCCUUUGUUUCCCACAUCACUCACCAGAUCUGCCCACAAAGGUUAUGAGAUCUUUGAUGGCCCAUGUCAGUUUAAGCCCAAAUGUUUUAGGUGACUCUGUUGAGUGGCAUCUGAAAGGGUUCUUUUGACACAUAACUUUAGAAUUAAUUACAAGUAGUUGGAUGUGAAUUACUAAAUACAUAUUUACAAGUAAUUAUAUAACCUCUAGCAUUUGUUUUCUGCAUUUCAGAUUUUCAUUUAUUUCUGCCAAAGCAUUAAUUGCAUUAUCAUUAUUUCAUUUCAUCUGUUAGCAGAUAAAGUGGCUUUCUUUUAAAAAAGUUGAAGAAGGAAAACAGUGCAGAUUAAGACUAAAUAAGAUGGAGGCAUUCACAGAGGGAAACUGCCAGGUAUAGCAAGAGAAAGCUUCCCACCUAUAAUCCACACAUGAACCCUACAGAAAUUUCAGAAAACAACCAAUGUAUCUUUCUCAUUCAUGUCCUCUUGUGUUUAUACUCCUGACAGUAUUAAAGUUGUUAAUGUGCUUGUCUUUUUGUCCCUUCUGACACAUGUCACACUCAGUCACAGAGUGUGAGGACUGCUACCCUCAUUUACACAUGCCUCCAGCACCUCCAAAACAGACCUGUGCUUAACUGAUUUCAGUUAAAUCAAUCUCAUUUAAUCCCACAGGAUUUAAGUGAGGAGAGACAAAGCAAAAAAAAAAAAAAAAAAUAAUAAUAAUAUAAUUCUUGUUUAUUCUUCACGAUCUUGGCCUGAGUGGAAGGAAGAGAGAAAGAAUUAUAGUUCAUGAAAAGAACCAUGAUUCUAACUCAGCUUAAUAGAAAUUUUUGCGUUCUAGACCCCUAAAUCCAGACGAGAAUUCAGGUAGUUGUCGGUACUUGAGGGAGGAUUCAAUGACUCUUGUGUUUCCAACCACAUGAUGUAAUCUAUCAGACCCUUAAGAUUAGUGGAUAUGGUAUUCACAUUUCCAAUCACUGGGUAGUUCCCUGAAGAAUUUAUGUAUAUAGUACACACCAAUUCAUAAUUUGAAAUGUGGUCAUCUUAUACAGCUCUUUGGCAUUUCUGGUUCUGUGUCUUGUUUAUUUCGUUUUGAAUACUCAUUAUCACGUAGCAAGCAACUAACGUAAAGAGAUUGAGCAAAAACUAAAAUCACAACUCUUUGUUUCUUCAGAAGGAACCAUGUAAAACCUCACAAUGUGACCUUAUCCGGAAAUAGGGUUUUUGCAGAUAUAAUUAGUAAAAAUGAGGUCAUCCUGGGAUUAGGCAAGGCUCUAAAUCCAAUGACUGGUGUCCUAAAAAAUCGCAGAUACACACACACACACACACACACAGAGGGAAGAUGGCCGUGUGGAGAUGAUACAGAGGCUGGAGAGACACAACAGCUCAAACCAAGGAAGGCCAAGGAAUCAGGAGAAGCCAGGAAGAAGCAAGGAGGGAUUCUCCCCUAGUACCUCCAGAGAGAGUGUGGCCUUGCUUGCACUUUGAUUUUGGACUUCUAGUUUCCAGAAGGAGUGACAAGAACAUAAGUAAGCCUGUGCUUUAAGACAGAAAAGAAGAUGGAAACAGUUGAAAGGAGAAUCCAGUGGUGGCUCGGAUCUACCACGUGAACAGUUUCACCUCUGCUGCCUGGAGGCAUAAGAAAAGGAGGUAGAUGAGUCGGAACCUCUAGGUGGUUAGUGCAAUGCAGAGUUUACUCACCAGUGAGAUAAACAUUUGAAAAAAGUUGCAAGAUGGCAAAAUGUGUUUUUAUGCACAAAAAGUACACCACAGUGAAUCGCCAAUAAAGUGAGGUUGAAGGGAAAGGCAAGAGAGUGCAAACUUUUCUAUAAACUACAGGUGGUGAACACAAAACACCGGCAGUUGGAUUAAACAUGCCUGGGGUAAAAUGUUGGUUUGAAACUUCCAGAAUCAUUGUAUUUUUUGCUACAUGUGAAGUCAACAAAUGCAUUAUUUCACUCACUGCCCCACAGAUGUUUUGAAGAGAAGCUUGUAAGAAGAAAUAAUAUGUGCAAUAAGGAAAAUACCUUCCCAAAUGCUCAUCCACGAGAUGGGUAAGAAAACAUGGGAAUUUAAAGAGGCCAAGGAUAAACUGACUCAUCUACUUUUGUGGCAAUGUAGCAUAUUUUGGGAUUAAGACUCACUUGUUUUCCUGUUCUGUCAUUUCCCAACCUUAAGGGACUUGAAUAAGAACUCCUUGAAUGUUUAUUGACAUUCCAUUAAAAAGCGUAUAAGGCAUGGCCAAAGUCUUUUAUUUUUUUCCUUCAAAAAUGUCCACAAGUACUUUGUGCUAAGGUAGGAUUUUAAAAUGUGUAGGUUCUCAAUGUUUUCUUCAUAGGAUGGAGUAGGAUGCUUUCUCUUUCUUAAUUUUUCUGCUGAAACAGGGAAAAUAAAUUUCCACCCUUUAUAAAGCAGUGGAUCUCAGGUAUUUUGGACCCUGCUAUCCCUUUAAAAAUUACUGAGAACCUCUAAAUAUUUGGCUUAUGAGCAGUCCUCAAUAUGUGGUUAUAUCUACUAAUAGUUAUGAUAAUAGAAAUGAGACCUUAAAAAUAAGUAUUUGUUGAUUCAUUUACUAAUAACAACAAUAAACCUAUUCAAUGCUGA
Long non-coding RNA from Mirounga angustirostris (Northern elephant seal), 3793 nucleotides. RefSeq lists it as uncharacterized. The transcript is spliced from 4 exons. The record is from RefSeq and is a predicted model, not a curated record. NCBI's taxonomy places the organism in Eukaryota, Metazoa, Chordata, Mammalia, Carnivora, Phocidae.